Molecule: long non-coding RNA, 766 nt
Organism: Chenopodium quinoa (quinoa)
Lineage: Eukaryota; Viridiplantae; Streptophyta; Magnoliopsida; Caryophyllales; Amaranthaceae
Exons: 3
Source: RefSeq, a predicted model, not a curated record
UACUCCUUAAGAAAAAAGAAAUUAUAUAUGAGUAAUAAUGUACUACCAUUUACCCAAAUUGAAGCAUGCGUUCAUCACUUUCAAAAGAAUACCUUGAAAAACAACAAAGUACUUCAAAAAGGGGAACUUCCACUGUCGACCUUCAGUAUUCAAAAAACCGCCAGCCGCUUACUGUUUCGUUCCAACGCCGGACCGCUGCUCCACCGCCGCACCAUUGCUCCACCGCCGCACAACGUCUGCAGCACCGCACCUGUUCGCUGAGCCAUUGAGGUCUCAUAUCCUUCAUCAACCAACCCAGCAUAGCUGAAUGCAGAUAAUACUGUAAUGAAAUUGACUACAUCAGGUUUUAUACCUGACCUAUACAUUUCAUGCUUGACCUAUUACAAACCUAGUUGCAGUGGUAGUGGAUAUUACGUUUGUCGCUACAUGAUUGAGACAAUUAAAUAAAGGCAAAUGAUCAUCCCCGACAAGCAGUAUUUCAAGCAAGUUCCUCCUGCAUAUUCUCAACAAAUGAUCAAUGAGCUUAGGGAAAGGUGAAUUUCGUAUGUUACUGGAUACCAUCAACCAAAUGACGACGUCAAUGAUUUAUGUGAAUUGUAGAUCAAUAUGGUAUUGGAUACCAUCAACCAAAUGACGACGUCAAUUGUAGAUUCUUAACUCUCGUAUUUGUUGUAUAGCACAAAUUUUCGGGGUGAAUGAUUUAGUUUAAUUGUGGUUGGAUAUUUUAAAUUAUAUAUAUGAAAUAUAUUUUGAUGGUUUUGUUUUA